CUGAAACUCAAAGGAAUUAACGGGGGCCCGCACAAGCGGUGGAGUAUGUGGUUUAAUUAGAUGCAACGCGAAGAACCUUACCUGGCCUUGACAUGUCUGGAAUCCUGCAGAGAUGCGGGAGUGCCUUCGGGAAUCAGAACACAGGUGCUGCAUGGCUGUCGUCAGCUCGUGUCGUGAGAUGUUGGGUUAAGUCCCGCAACGAGCGCAACCCUUGUCCUUAGUUGCCAGCACGUAAUGGUGGGAACUCUAAGGAGACUGCCGGUGACAAACCGGAGGAAGGUGGGGAUGACGUCAAGUCCUCAUGGCCCUUACGGCCAGGGCUACACACGUACUACAAUGGUCGGUACAGAGGGUUGCAAUACCGCGAGGUGGAGCCAAUCCCAGAAAGCCGAUCCCAGUCCGGAUCGGAGUCUGCAACUCGACUCCGUGAAGUCGGAAUCGCUAGUAAUCGCGGAUCAGCUAAGCCGCGGUGAAUACGUUCCCGGGCCUUGUACACACCGCCCGUCACACC
RNAcentral lists this ribosomal RNA (511 nucleotides) under Lysobacteraceae bacterium. RNAcentral describes it as "bacterial SSU rRNA". It matches the Rfam family "Bacterial small subunit ribosomal RNA", at positions 894 to 1403 of the family's 1533-position model. Lineage: Bacteria; Pseudomonadati; Pseudomonadota; Gammaproteobacteria; Lysobacterales; Lysobacteraceae. The record is from RNAcentral.